This 646-nucleotide ribosomal RNA is filed under the name uncultured fungus. RNAcentral describes it as "partial 18S ribosomal RNA". The stretch from base 206 to 358 matches the Rfam family "5.8S ribosomal RNA". The record is from RNAcentral. Lineage: Eukaryota; Fungi.
UCUUGGUCAUUUAGAGGAAGUAAAAGUCGUAACAAGGUUUCCGUAGGUGAACCUGCGGAAGGAUCAUUAAUGAUUUGAAAAAAAAGUGAGCUCAUGAAUAUGAGUUUUACUUUACACUUCUUUUAAACCCCUGUUUUAAAAAUGUUUACUAGAGUGUUUUUAAAAUUAUAACUGUAAUGGUUGUAAUGAAAAAGUUUAAUAAUAAAACUUUCAGCAAUGGAUCUCUUGGUUCAGGCAUCGAUGAAGAACGCAGCGAAAUGCGAUAAGUAAUGUGAAUUGCAGAUACAGUGAAUCAUCGAAUCUUUGAACGCAUAUUGCACCUUUUGGUAUUCCAUAAGGUACGUCUGUUUGAGCGUCGCGAACAUCUCAUAAUUAAUGAAUUUUUUUUGUUAAUUAUGGUCUUUGAGUUUGUCUAUAAUUUUUAGACUCACUUUAAAUUGAUUAGUAGUUUGACUUUUGAAAGGGUUAAAAUUAGGUGUUUUUUAAUGUACAUUACUUUGUGCAUCAUCUAAUCAAGAGUUACUUACUCUGCCUUAGUAUUAAUGUUACUGCUUCUAAUAGCUUAUUAAGCAAGUAAUAUUUCAAUCGACCUCAAAUCAGAUGGGAUUACCCGCUGAACUUAAGCAUAUCAAUAAGCGGAGGAAAU